This 809-nucleotide ribosomal RNA is filed under the name uncultured Actinomycetes bacterium. Its description in RNAcentral is "bacterial SSU rRNA". It matches the Rfam family "Bacterial small subunit ribosomal RNA", at positions 84 to 914 of the family's 1533-position model. The record is from RNAcentral. Lineage: Bacteria; Bacillati; Actinomycetota; Actinomycetes.
UUUCGGGUCUAGUGGCGGACGGCUGAGUAACGCGUAGGUAACGUACCUCUUACUGGGGGAUAACAUCGGGAAACCGGUGCUAAUACCGCAUAAGUCGUGUCUUGGAAUAGAUACGAUUAAAGAUUUAUUGGUAAGAGAUUGGCCUGCGUCUGAUUAGCUAGUUGGUAGGGUAAUGGCCUACCAAGGCGAUGAUCAGUAGUUGGUCUGAGAGGAUGACCAGCCAGAGUGGGACUGAGAACGGCCCACACUUCUACGGAAGGCAGCAGUAGGGAAUUUUGCGCAAUGGGCGAAAGCCUGACGCAGCAACACCGCGUGCGGGAUGAAGGCCUUUGGGUUGUAAACCGCUGUCAGCAGGGAAUAAAUUGACUGUACCUGCAAAGGAAGCACCGGCUAACUACGUGCCAGCAGCCGCGGUAAGACGUAGGGUGCAAGCGUUGUCCGGAUUUAUUGGGCGUAAAGAGUUCGUAGGCGGUUGCCUAAGUCUGAUGUUAAAGCCCGGAGCUCAACUCCGGUAUGGCAUUGGAAACUGGGCAGCUUGAGUAUGAUAGAGGUUACGGGAAUUCCUGGUGUAGCGGUGAAAUGCGUAGAUAUCAGGAGGAACACCGGUGGCGAAAGCGCGUAACUGGGUCAUAACUGACGCUGAGGAACGAAAGCCAGGGUAGCAAAAAGGAUUAGAUACCCUUGUAGUCCUGGCCGUAAACGAUGGAUACUAGGUGUUGGUGGAUUCGACCCCAUCAGUGCCGUAGCUAACGCGAUAAGUAUCCCGCCUGGGGAGUACGACCGCAAGGUUGAAACUCAAAUGAAUUGAC